UACGGGGGGGGCAAGCGUUGUUCGGAAUUACUGGGCGUAAAGGGUUUGUAGGUGGUCUGUUAAGUCAGACGUGAAAUCCCUCAGCUUAACUGGGGAACUGCGUCUGAGACUGAUGGACUUGAGGGCAGGAGAGGAACGCGGAAUUCCAGGUGUAGCGGUGAAAUGCGUAGAUAUCAGGAGGAACACCUGUGGUGUAGACAGCUUACUGGACCACGACUGACGCUGAGACACGAAAGCGUGGGUAGCAAACAGG
This 253-nucleotide ribosomal RNA is filed under the name uncultured bacterium. Its description in RNAcentral is "partial 16S ribosomal RNA". It matches the Rfam family "Bacterial small subunit ribosomal RNA", at positions 524 to 776 of the family's 1533-position model. The record is from RNAcentral.